GACGAACGCUGGCGGCGUGCUUAACACAUGCAAGUCGAACGGAAAGGCCCUGCUUUUGUGGGGUGCUCGAGUGGCGAACGGGUGAGUAACACGUGAGUAACCUGCCCUUGACUUUGGGAUAACUUCAGGAAACUGGGGCUAAUACCGGAUAGGAGCUCCUGCUGCAUGGUGGGGGUUGGAAAGUUUCGGCGGUUGGGGAUGGACUCGCGGCUUAUCAGCUUGUUGGUGGGGUAGUGGCUUACCAAGGCUUUGACGGGUAGCCGGCCUGAGAGGGUGACCGGCCACAUUGGGGCUGAGAUACGGCCCAGACUCCUACGGGAGGCAGCAGUGGGGAAUGUUGCACAAUGGGCGGAAGCCUGAUGCCGCAACGCCGCGUGCGGGAUGACGGCCUUCGGGUUGUAAACCGCUUUCGCCUGUGACGAAGCGUGAGUGACGGUAAUGGGUAAAGAAGCACCGGCUAACUACGUG
Molecule: ribosomal RNA, 468 nt
Filed under: uncultured bacterium
Lineage: Bacteria
Description: partial 16S ribosomal RNA
Rfam family: Bacterial small subunit ribosomal RNA
Source: RNAcentral